GGGAAACAAGACUGAAAGUGAACUACGGUUUCAAUUUAGCUGGUUUCCAGGUAUUUAAGAUGAAGUGGCACCUUCUAGGGAGGAUGUUUUCCUACACCUUCUAGAAAUAACACCACAUAUUCCUGAGAGAUCUGCUUCUGGUUGUGCACUGUUGUGCAGUGAGGAAGUCACAGUCCAUUGUUGCAGUCAUUCUGUGGCAGCUCUGACUCUCACAGAAUUGAGCACACACAUCGAGAGCAGCACAACAGACGUGAUGACACAACGGGAUGCAAUACAGAUAUCAUUUGCUAAGCAGACUCCUGGAGUCUGGUAGGCAAGCUUCCCUGCCAUCACUUGCACUACCAGGGAGAGAGAAACUCAAGUUUCAUUCUUUCCAGACCUGGGAAACUCAACCUUAAGAACUAAUUAUACAGCCAAAGACACCCUCAGCAGUUAAGAUAUCCUUGGGGGAUUUUUUUGGCCCACUAGAAGUUAACUGUCCUACCAAGAGAAA
Molecule: long non-coding RNA, 493 nt
Organism: Lepidothrix coronata (blue-crowned manakin)
Lineage: Eukaryota; Metazoa; Chordata; Aves; Passeriformes; Pipridae
Exons: 3
Source: RefSeq, a predicted model, not a curated record